GACGAACGCUGGCGGCGUGCUUAACACAUGCAAGUCGAACGGAAAGGCCCUGCUUUUGUGGGGUGCUCGAGUGGCGAACGGGUGAGUAACACGUGAGUAACCUGCCCUUGACUGUGGGAUAACUUCAGGAAACUGGGGCUAAUACCGGAUAGGAGCUCCUGCUGCAUGGUGGGGGUUGGAAAGUUUCGGCGGUUGGGGAUGGACUCGCGGCUUAUCAGCUUGUUUGUGGGGUAGUGGCUUACCAAGGCUUUGACGGGUAGCCGGCCUGAGAGGGUGACCGGCCACAUUGGGACUGAGAUACGGCCCAGACUCCUACGGGAGGCAGCAGUGGGGAAUAUUGCACAAUGGGCGGAAGCCUGAUGCAGCAACGCCGCGUGCGGGAUGACGGCCUUCGGGUUGUAAACCGCUUUCGCAUGUGACGAAGCGUGCGUGACGGUAAUGGGUAAAGAAGCACCGGCUAACUACGUG
RNAcentral lists this ribosomal RNA (468 nucleotides) under uncultured bacterium. RNAcentral describes it as "partial 16S ribosomal RNA". It matches the Rfam family "Bacterial small subunit ribosomal RNA", at positions 28 to 507 of the family's 1533-position model. The record is from RNAcentral.